Molecule: ribosomal RNA, 165 nt
Filed under: Campylobacter coli
Lineage: Bacteria; Pseudomonadati; Campylobacterota; Epsilonproteobacteria; Campylobacterales; Campylobacteraceae
Also listed under: 1 other name
Description: partial 16S ribosomal RNA
Rfam family: Bacterial small subunit ribosomal RNA
Source: RNAcentral
UUUUAUGGAGAGUUUGAUCCUGGCUCAGAGUGAACGCUGGCGGCGUGCCUAAUACAUGCAAGUCGAACGAUGAAGCUUCUAGCUUGCUAGAAGUGGAUUAGUGGCGCACGGGUGAGUAAGGUAUAGUUAAUCUGCCCUACACAAGAGGACAACAGUUGGAAACGA